ACAGAGGGGGCAAGCGUUGCUCGGAAUUACUGGGCGUAAAGGGCGCGUAGGCGGGAUGGCAAGUCGGUCGUGAAAUCCCUCGGCUCAACCGAGGAACGUCGAUCGAUACUGCUGUUCUUGAGGAUUGCAGAGGAGACUGGAAUUCCCGGUGUAGCGGUGAAAUGUGUAGAGAUCGGGAGGAACACCAGUGGCGAAGGCGACUACCUGGCCUGUUCUUGACGCUGAGGCGCGAAAGCUAGGGGAGCAAACGGGA
Molecule: ribosomal RNA, 253 nt
Filed under: uncultured prokaryote
Description: partial 16S ribosomal RNA
Rfam family: Bacterial small subunit ribosomal RNA
Source: RNAcentral